AAGAGGUAGGAACAAUAAUCAAAGGAUUUAGUCAAGCAUGUAUAUAAUGAUUUGUUACCUUAGGUAUGGUAAGGGUCUGUUAAACAGUUUCUAGGGGUAAGACAACUUAAGCAGAUUUAUGAUUAGAGUAGGUGAUUACCAAUUGUUAUCAAACUACUGCCCCUGG
Long non-coding RNA from Chiroxiphia lanceolata (lance-tailed manakin), 166 nucleotides. RefSeq lists it as uncharacterized. NCBI's taxonomy places the organism in Eukaryota, Metazoa, Chordata, Aves, Passeriformes, Pipridae. The record is from RefSeq and is a predicted model, not a curated record. The transcript is spliced from 3 exons.